Molecule: small nucleolar RNA, 94 nt
Filed under: Trichoderma reesei QM6a
Lineage: Eukaryota; Fungi; Ascomycota; Sordariomycetes; Hypocreales; Hypocreaceae
Also listed under: 1 other name
Description: A. fumigatus snoRNA Afu_190
Rfam family: A. fumigatus snoRNA Afu_190
Source: Rfam by way of RNAcentral
UCAUGAUGAAAUACCAGCUGGCACCAGUCAUAGAGUGAUUUGUACUCCCUUUCAGUGAUGACCAAAAUUGCUGUGGUCUCAGACCACUUCUGAA